This 629-nucleotide ribosomal RNA is filed under the name uncultured bacterium. Its description in RNAcentral is "bacterial SSU rRNA". It matches the Rfam family "Bacterial small subunit ribosomal RNA", at positions 9 to 639 of the family's 1533-position model. The record is from RNAcentral.
GAGUUUGAUCAUGGCUCAGGAUGAACGCUAGCGGCAGGCUUAACACAUGCAAGUCGAGGGGUAUAGUUCUUCGGAAUUAGAGACCGGCGCACGGGUGCGUAACGCGUAUGCAAUCUACCUUUCACAGAAGGAUAGCCCAGAGAAAUUUGGAUUAGUACCUCGUAGUAUAUCGACUCCGCAUGGAGAUGUUAUUAAAGUCACAACGGUGAAAGAUGAGCAUGCGUCCCAUUAUCUAGGUGGUAAGGUAACGGCUUACCAAGGAUACUAUGGGUAGGGGUCCUGAGAGGGAGAUCCCCCACACUGGUACUGAGACACGGACCAGACUCCUACGGGAGGCAGCAGUGAGGAAUAUUGGACAAUGGGCGCAAGCCUGAUCCAGCCAUGCCGCGUGCAAGAUGACGGCCCUAUGGAUUGUAAACUGCUUUUGCACAGGAAGAAACAACGCUACGUGUAACGUCUUGACGGCACUGUGAGAAUAAAGAUCGGCUAACUCCGUGCCAGCAGCCGCGGUAAUACAGAGGAUCCAAGCGUUAUCCGGAAUCAUUGGGUUUAAAGGGUCCGUACGCGGUUUAAUAACUCAGUGGAGAGAGCCCAUCGCUCAACGGUGGAACGGCCAUUGAUACUGCUAG